Molecule: ribosomal RNA, 504 nt
Filed under: uncultured bacterium
Lineage: Bacteria
Description: bacterial SSU rRNA
Rfam family: Bacterial small subunit ribosomal RNA
Source: RNAcentral
UCAGGAUGAACGCUAGCUACAGGCUUAACACAUGCAAGUCGAGGGGCAGCAUGGAGUUGCUUGCAAACUCUGAUGGCGACCGGCGCACGGGUGAGUAACGCGUAUCCAACCUUCCCUAUAGUAGAGGAUAGCCCGGCGAAAGUCGGAUUAAUACUCUAUGUUUUCCGUUGCAGACAUCUAAGAUGGAACAAAGGCUUGCCGCUAUAGGAUGGGGAUGCGUCUGAUUAGGUAGUCGGCGGGGUAACGGCCCACCGAGCCAUCGAUCAGUAGGGGUUCUGAGAGGAAGGUCCCCCACAUUGGAACUGAGACACGGUCCAAACUCCUACGGGAGGCAGCAGUGAGGAAUAUUGGUCAAUGGACGAGAGUCUGAACCAGCCAAGUAGCGUGCAGGAAGACGGCCCUAUGGGUUGUAAACUGCUUUUAUGCGGGGAUAAAGUUCACUACGUGUAGUGUUUUGUAGGUACCGCAUGAAUAAGGACCGGCUAAUUCCGUGCCAGCAGCAGC